This 467-nucleotide ribosomal RNA is filed under the name uncultured bacterium. RNAcentral's name for it is "partial 16S ribosomal RNA". It matches the Rfam family "Bacterial small subunit ribosomal RNA", at positions 29 to 507 of the family's 1533-position model. The record is from RNAcentral.
ACGAACGCUGGCGGCGUGCUUCACACAUGCAAGUCGAACGGAAAGGCCCUGCUUUUGUGGGGUGCUCGAGUGGCGAACGGGUGAGUAACACGUGAGUAACCUGCCCUUGACUUUGGGAUAACUUCAGGAAACUGGGGCUAAUACCGGAUAGGAGCUCCUGCUGCAUGGUGGGGGUUGGAAAGUUUCGGCGGUUGGGGAUGGACUCGCGGCUUAUCAGCUUGUUGGUGGGGUAGUGGCUUACCAAGGCUUUGACGGGUAGCCGGCCUGAGAGGGUGACCGGCCACAUUGGGACUGAGAUACGGCCCAGACUCUUACGGGAGGCAGCAGUGGGGAAUAUUGCACAAUGGGCGGAAGCCUGAUGCAGCAACGCCGCGUGCGGGAUGACGGCCUUCGGGUUGUAAACCGCUUUCGCCUGUGACGAAGCGUGAGUGACGGUAAUGGGUAAAGAAGCACCGGCUAACUACGUG